Molecule: long non-coding RNA, 870 nt
Filed under: Salmo salar (Atlantic salmon)
Lineage: Eukaryota; Metazoa; Chordata; Actinopteri; Salmoniformes; Salmonidae
Description: lncRNA (ENSSSAG00000119848.1)
Source: RNAcentral
AGUGACGCAAGAGGCGGGACUCUGCACCACUCGGGAGGUGGCUGAGCUGAAACAGAAAGUAAAGUUGUUCUUUUGUUCAGGAUCCAUUUUGAGACGACAGAGCAGAAAACACUAUAUGGAGACUAUUGAAAAAUAAAGGUGGGGAGGCGGCUGAUUGAAACAGAAAGUAAAGUUGUUCUUUUGUACAGAAUCCAUUUUGAGACGACAGAGCAGAAGACGCUAUAUGGAGAUUACUGACAAAUAAAUUCCUCUGCCAAGUUCUCUGGGUGUGUCUGUCGCUGAACUCAAAGCAGUCCAGAAGACAGCUAGACAUCGAAAAAAUCUUCAAUGAAGUGACAUGUACCCGACAUGUAAGAAGUGGUUACCCUUGAUGUCCAGCAGUCAGUGGAUCCAUUUUGAGACGACAGAGCAGAAGACGCUAUAUGGAGAUUACUGACAAAUAAUGAGGAGCAGCCAAAAACUGAAGCAAGAUUCAGUACAACGUCAUGAGUCACUGCUGUUGAAUGCAUCUGACUGUUGAAUCUCCAACCACCUCAGAGAUCAGUCUCUCCAGUACCCAGUCAUCUGUCCAUGAAGAGCGACUUCUCUAUGGAUCGUCCAAUACAUUUUAGUGAUGGAUCAGGGACCUUUGACCCCAGGUAGUCAGCCUGCCACACAGGCUCCUCGUGGAGUGCAAUGUAAGGCAGGUGGUUAGAGCGUUGGACUAGUAACCAGAAGGUUGCAAAAACGAAUCCCCGAGCUGACAAGGUAAAAAUCUGUCAUUCUGCCCCUGAACAAGGCAGUUAACCCACUGUUGCUAGGCCGUCAUUGGAAAUAAGAAUGUGUUCUUAACUGACUUGCCUAGUUAAACAAAGGUGUAAAAAGAAAUCG